This 504-nucleotide unclassified non-coding RNA is filed under the name Dryocosmus kuriphilus (oriental chestnut gall wasp). Its description in RNAcentral is "partial contains 5.8S rRNA, ITS2 and 28S rRNA". Lineage: Eukaryota; Metazoa; Arthropoda; Insecta; Hymenoptera; Cynipidae. The record is from RNAcentral.
UNCGCUUUNCGAACGCACAUUGCGGUCCACGGNUACAAUUCCCGGACCACGCCUGGCUGAGGGUCGUUUAUAAACUAAAAACUGCUUAUCUCAAAACAAAGGUAUACGUACGUAUACCGAAGAGAUACGAGCGAAAUAAUGAAUGUUCGUUGCCUUCACUCUCAAUAUAAUUAUACAUUAUUACUGUAGAGAGGUUGCGGCGUCGUUUGAAAAAAGUUUAAAAAGAAAAGCCACUAUGACCGUGUCCUCCCCUUGCCCGUCUGUUGUGUUGUUGUUACACGCAAGCAGAUGUUGAACGCAACCGCUUGCACACAUAACACUAUCAAUAGAGGCGGUCGUGGAUCGGUCGUCGAGUCCUGGAGCUUUUAGUUGAGCAACGGACGGACAGACGACUAUUUUAUGAUUUACGAUCGCUAUUUUCCUGUGGCGUGUGUGUAAAAGUUGGUGACAGAGUAGUAAGGUGAGAAGGGAUGCGUUGUUUUAUUUUUGGUCUUUUUUUUUUUU